This 223-nucleotide ribosomal RNA is filed under the name uncultured Glomeromycotina. RNAcentral's name for it is "partial small subunit ribosomal RNA". It matches the Rfam family "Eukaryotic small subunit ribosomal RNA", at positions 665 to 864 of the family's 1831-position model. The record is from RNAcentral. Lineage: Eukaryota; Fungi; Glomeromycota.
GGAUUGACGUGACGGUCGUGCCUUAAGGGGUAUGAACUGUUGCUGUUGAUUUCUCACCUUCUGGAGAAUCUCGAUGCCCUUUAUUGGGUGUCUUGUGGAUCCAGGACCUUUACCUUGAAAAAAUUAGAGUGUUUAAAGCAGGCAUUUUUGCUCGAAUACAUUAGCAUGGAAUAAUAGAAUAGGACGGCUUGGUUCUAUUUUGUUGGUUUCUAGGAUCACCGUA